Non-coding RNA from Lonchura striata (white-rumped munia), 819 nucleotides. NCBI's taxonomy places the organism in Eukaryota, Metazoa, Chordata, Aves, Passeriformes, Estrildidae. The record is from RefSeq and is a predicted model, not a curated record.
GAAGAGCCGCCGGCGCCUGCGCGGUGGGGCCGCCGCGCUGCGUUCCCUUUCCCGAGGAGAUGGAGGCGGCGGCGCGGCGGCGGCCGCGGGAGCCGGAACGGCAGGAGCGGGAGCAGGACGAUGGUGGGCGAGUGAUGUCGCGGUCCCUGUCGGGACAGUCCUACUGGCUGGACCUGUGGCUCUUCAUCCUCUUUGACCUGGCGCUUUUCCUGUUUAUCUACCUGCUGCCCUGAGGGCGCGGCCCAGGGCCAUUGCCACCAAGGGAAUUCUCACCUAUUUCGCACCUUAUGGACGGAGGCGGUGGAAGAGGAGGGCCAUUUGUGCGGGAUAAGCAACUGGGAACACAACUCCACUUGAGUCUGGCUGGAGGAGGCACAUUUUUGUACUGUACCGUAUAGAUCUCUGUGUCACAACUGUUACUGUGUCCUGUUCACGUGUCCUAAACUGUGCCUUAAAGGUCACGUACAACAGACUGACCGUGCUUUGUGAUUAGUGCCUACAGGUUUGUUGGGCAGAAAUGGAAGUAUGCACUGUGUGAAUAAAAUCCCCUGAAAGGACACCCUGCAGAGUGGCUGAGAAUAAAACCCAGCUCUUCUGUACACUGAAGUUGUAACUCAGGCAUGUUCCCUCAACAGAUGAAGCUUGGCCAGCUGUUCUGCUUCUGAAAAGUUAAUCCUGAAGGGUUGAUGCUGGUUGGUUUUCUAUAAUACCUUUCUCUGUUUUUUUCUUUCUUUACCUUCAGCAGUUACUGAGCCCUCUCAGGCUCACUAUUUAUAGAUAUAAAUAUAUACGUAUAUAAACAUGUCAGUGUUUAACCCA